AAUUGUUCUAUAAUGGAUAUAUUAUUCUGGUUUUUUACGGGAACAAUUUGUAGAACGCUAAGUAGGCGACAGAAACAAAGAUCGUGCCAUUUCCUCGCUGGAAAUAUUCGUAGACUCGGCUACGUAGUUCGAUGUACACGCCCAUAGAGGCGUUAGUAGAUUUUAUUAUAAGUGCGGACAUGUCUACUCUCAAACUUUCUUUAGUUCAUGAAACAUAACCUCGCUGUAACAUAUUACUGAACAUAUGUAAACAAAACAACGACAUUCUCUGAUGCAUCAAUUACAAAAAGGGGAUAAGAAAGGCAAAAGGAAGAAGGUAAAGUUUCCAACGGAAUGAUGAAUUAGUCAAUAAAUAAGAGAAGCAGAAAAGAAUGGCGAAAGGAGAAGCUGAAGAAGGCAAGGAAGGCUGGCAUGUUUCAACCAUCAUCGACAAAGAGUGUAAGAACGUCAAUCCACAUAUUCCUCAGUACAUCAGCUUGGAACGGUGGUAUUUCAUUGCCCAGACUCCCACCUUGAAACACCAGAGAUAACAGUCCAAGAAACAGAAGCAAUACAGUUCCAUAAAUAUCUAGUACAAUCGUGGAUCCUAUCUGAGUGAAAGCCAAGUAGUCAAGCCAUUGGAGAAUCAGGAAAGAAAACUACAAAGGCAAUUGAUAACGCUCAAGAUAAAGUAUCAUUCACUAGAAAAGAGACGGACAUUAAUAGCGUUUUCUCUUGGCUGCACUAUUGCCCACUAGUGCAACACUCAGAUAGUGUACCAUGUUUCUAUGGCUACGGUGUAAUGCAAAUUUUAUACACAAAGUGAGAUUUUGCUACACUGUCUCAAAGGGAUGGUGUAGAGCCAGUGUGACGUUUAAAAUUUGAAAAUGGAAGUCAAGCGAAAACAGGGUUUUAGCGUAAUAAUGAUGUAAUGUACACCACAGUGUGUACCACUCUGGUGUAGUGUAGCCGAGUGUAGCGCUUACACGCAACUGGUGUGGUGCGAGGCUGCACCCACUGUAUCCCAUAAGAGAAAACACUACAAGUCAGAUAUGUCAGACAGUAAUCAUUCUACAAAUAAAUCUUCGUCUGACGAUGGCUGGGAAAGAUCAAACAAAGAAGAAACGAAAAUUCAAGAAACAAAAACGGAAGAAAAA
Trachymyrmex cornetzi is the source of this 1136-nucleotide long non-coding RNA. RefSeq lists it as uncharacterized. The transcript is spliced from 2 exons. Lineage: Eukaryota; Metazoa; Arthropoda; Insecta; Hymenoptera; Formicidae. The record is from RefSeq and is a predicted model, not a curated record.